CCUACGGGGCGCAGCAGUGAGGAAUAUUGGUCAAUGGGCGGGAGCCUGAACCAGCCAAGUCGCGUGAGGGAAGACGGUCCUAUGGAUUGUAAACCUCUUUAGGCGGGGAGCAAUGCCGGGCACGCGUGCCCGGAGGGAGAGUACCCGCAGAAUAAGCAUCGGCUAACUCCGUGCCAGCAGCCGCGGUAAUACGGAGGAUGCGAGCGUUAUCCGGAUUUAUUGGGUUUAAAGGGUGCGUAGGCGGUUUUUUAAGUCUGAUGUGAAAGCCUUCGGCUUAACCGGAGGUGUGCAUUGGAAACUGGAAG
RNAcentral lists this ribosomal RNA (305 nucleotides) under uncultured bacterium. Its description in RNAcentral is "bacterial SSU rRNA". It matches the Rfam family "Bacterial small subunit ribosomal RNA", at positions 338 to 639 of the family's 1533-position model. The record is from RNAcentral.